Molecule: ribosomal RNA, 503 nt
Filed under: Penaphlebia sp. BYU IGCEP076
Lineage: Eukaryota; Metazoa; Arthropoda; Insecta; Ephemeroptera; Leptophlebiidae
Description: partial 16S ribosomal RNA
Rfam family: Bacterial large subunit ribosomal RNA
Source: RNAcentral
UCGCCUUUUGCAUUAAAUAAUAGGUCUGGCCUGCCCACUGAAUGUUGAAGGGCCGCGGUAUUUUGACCGUGCAAAGGUAGCAUAAUCAUUAGUCUUUUAAUUGAAGGCUGGAAUGAAUGGUUGGAUGAGGUAGAAGCUGUCUCCUAAAAGAUAAUUAAAACUUGACUUUUCAGUUAAAAGGCUGAGAUAAGUUUAAAGGACGAGAAGACCCUAUAGAUCUUUAUAAAAGUAUUUAAAUUUUAUAGAAAGAGGUAUAAAUUUAAAAACUUUUAUUUUGUUGGGGCGACAAGGAAAUAAAAUAACUUUCUUUUAUAGAACAUUGAUUAAUGAAUUUAAGAUCCGUUAUUGACGAUUAAAAGAAUAAGUUACCUUAGGGAUAACAGCAUAAUCUUCUCUGAGAGUUCUAAUCGACGGGAGGGGUUGUGACCUCGAUGUUGGACUAAGGGUAAUCUCAGGUGCAGCAGUCUGAGAUUUGGGUCUGUUCGACCCUUAGAACCUUACAU